RNAcentral lists this transfer RNA (79 nucleotides) under Rhizobium sp. S163. RNAcentral's name for it is "tRNA-OTHER". Lineage: Bacteria; Pseudomonadati; Pseudomonadota; Alphaproteobacteria; Hyphomicrobiales; Rhizobiaceae. The record is from RNAcentral.
GAGAGGUUCGAGAUAACCGCACUCGAAAUGCAGCAUACUGGCAACCGUAUCGUGGGCUCGAAUCCCACCCUCUCCGCCA